UGGGGAAUAUUGGACAAUGGGCGAAAGCCUGAUCCAGCAAUGCCGCGUGUGUGAAGAAGGCCUUCGGGUUGUAAAGCACUUUGAUCUGGGAAGAAAAAGCUUUGGCUAAUAUCCAAAGCCUUGACGGUACCAGAGGAACAAGCACCGGCUAACUCUGUGCCAGCAGCCGCGGUAAUACAGAGGGUGCUAGCGUUAAUCGGAUUUACUGGGCGUAAAGCGUGUGUAGGCGGUUCGUUAAGUCGGAUGUGAAAGCCCUGGGCUCAACCUGGGAAUUGCAUUCGAUACUGGCGAGCUAGAGUACGGUAGAGGGCGGCGGAAUUCCGGGUGUAGCGGUGAAAUGCGUAGAUAUCCGGAGGAACACCGAUGGCGAAGGCAACCGCCUGGGCCUGUACUGACGCUG
This 400-nucleotide ribosomal RNA is filed under the name uncultured bacterium. RNAcentral describes it as "bacterial SSU rRNA". It matches the Rfam family "Bacterial small subunit ribosomal RNA", at positions 355 to 748 of the family's 1533-position model. The record is from RNAcentral.